Manis pentadactyla (Chinese pangolin) is the source of this 2377-nucleotide long non-coding RNA. RefSeq lists it as uncharacterized. The transcript has 5 exons. NCBI's taxonomy places the organism in Eukaryota, Metazoa, Chordata, Mammalia, Pholidota, Manidae. The record is from RefSeq and is a predicted model, not a curated record.
CCUGUGAGAUGUGCUAUCUGAGCAGAGACCUGAGUGGAGCGAGGGAGCCGGCCGUGUGAGUGUCUGGGAGAUGAGUCCAGGCAGGGAAAGCCCUGAGGUGGGAGUAACCAGAUAUUGAGCACCCUGAGGAGAAGGAACUGCCCCAGUGAACCUCCAUCCUUCAGCACUCCCAUGUGACUGGCUGAGUGCCCUGCAGGGGUCACACCAGGAGAGCAAAAGCUCUCUAAGUUUGAAAGGCUGCUUUGGCUGGCUGGCUGUCAGGAGGCUGGGAGCGUCACUGGACAUGGUGUGAGGAGAAGGCAGCUUGCCUGAAAUGGUGGUGGUGAAAAGUUCGUGGCUCAGAAUGAAUGAAAAAACAAGCAGCUUCUCUCCCAUCUGUGACUGAGAACUUAUGUUGGCCUCAAGAGGAAACUCAAGUGAACCUUCCAAGUUACAUGGACUGGAACGAGAUUUCUAGAGCAAACCUCUACAACUUGCCCAUAUGGAAUGAACAAAGAUGUCCACUUAAAGCAGACAAUAAAUUAUAAUCCACUUCAUGGCUGCUGGCCAUGGAACCUGCACCACGUUCUGAAGCACAUUUAAAGAAGCUUGUCUAACCCGCAAGAGGCUGUGUGUCCUGAUCAACAGUAUCGGGCCCAAGAGGAGCCCCAAGAGGCAGCAAGGUGGAGCAGUAAACUUUCUCCAGCUGAGGCUGGCAUUGUUAGAAGCAACCACAAAUGACAAUCUUGUGCAUCAUGCAACGAGAACAAUUUUUAGUAAAAACAAAUCUAUUUUGGUUCUGCCUUUUGUAAACAAUUCCUUUGCUCUGAAUAGUCUCUACUCUGACUGAUGCUAUGAUCCAGAAGAUGCUUCUUUAUUCUUCCCAGUAAUUCCUGGCAAAUCACUUGGGGCCAGUCUUCAAGAUUCCAAAUUUACCUCCUGAAAGAAUAACUCCCUCCCUCCCUGAUCUGAGUCCUAUGGUGCUCCUUACCCUGAGCACUUGUGUUUUAGAUGUUUACUAGGUGACAUCUGCAUUCCUGAGCAGGCUGCUCUCAAGAUGUUCUUGAGUCCUUUCAUUGUGGGUCUUCUGGAAGCCUCCAUACUAAGGCAGUAAGUGGAGUCUGGCUGACACCCUGGGAUGGAUGUAAUAUGUCUCUCACCAAGUAGGCCAGAGGAUAAUUUAGGAACUCUGGAUAUCAUAAAGGAAAUAGUGUUUCCUCAAAACACCUAGCUUUCAAAGUCAUGCUAAUUUGUCUUUGCAGAAAUGCUUAUUAAUUAGUCCUUUCAUAAUUCAGCAAUACUAGGUAAAUAAAAAUAUAUGAUUUGACUAACUGGCAGGAAUUUAAUAUUUUAGUGAGCAGAGAGUGGCUCAGGAGUGAUUUUUUAAAAAAAUUAAGCACACUACACAUUAAGCUCUUGUUUGAAAUUUAGAACUGAUUAGAUCACAACAUUAGAAAUCCAAUUGAGUUUUGGAGACCAAAGCGAAUAUUGAUGAUAGUGUCCUAAGAAUAAUAUUUUGUCAUAAAUUGCUCUGCUAAAAUUACAUUUUAUGAGAUGAACAUAUAUGUUUCCUUCUCACUAUAAUGAACUAUAUUUUGGAGUUAUUGGUUUGCCCCUUGUCAUUCAGUAUUGACACUGUGAAAAGCAGAACAUUCAGACAAGAGAAGCUUCUUGCUAUAAUGUACUUCCUGUUAAGAUCUCUCCCCAAAGUAACAUAAUCAGAAUCUAAUUAAGCCUCUAUGUCUUAUACCAUUAUUCUGGAAAUCAGGUAGAUAGAGAAACACGUCACAUAAUACCAUGGGGAUAUAGGGAGACAAAUCCAGUAUGCAGGAAAUCCUACAGACAAAUGAUCCAGUUUCUUCAACAAUCAAUGGAGUAAGAAAAAGGAUGGGUGAUAUUAUAGAUUAAUGGGAGAAUAAGAGGCAUCAUGACCAAAUGCAAUGUCUGGGUCAAAUUCUGAUCCUAAUUUGAACAAAGUAACUAUGAAAAGACAUUUUUGAGGCAGUCUGGGAAACCAAACAUGGACUUAUUAUGUUAGGAGUUAUAACUGUGUUGGGUGUGAUCAUUGGUAUUGGGGUGUGGAAUUAUAUUUAAAAAACAUGCAGUCAGAAAUUAAGUGGGGGAAUGAGGGAGGAAGUCUUUGUGAGAGAUGCAUAAUGAAAGUAUUUAUUUAAAGAUGAAAUGAAAUCUCUGGAAUUUGCUUUAAAAUAACUCUAGAAGAAAAAAAGAACUUCAGCAAGGGACAGAUGAAAAUGAAGGCAAAAUGUUAAUGACUGUUGAAGUUGGACGAUAUAUAUAUGGCUGCAUUAUUCUCUCUACUUUUGUGUAUUUAUUUGAAAAGUCCCAUAUUAAAAAGUUUAAAAACAAGCAAAUAUUCAUCACUCAGUACAAUGCUGCC